UACCCGCAGCACAAGUGGUGGUCAUUAUUAUUGGGCCUAAAGCGUCCGUAGCUGGCCUGUUAGAUGACCUGGGUAAAUCGAUGCGCUCAACGUAUCGAACUCCGGGUAGACCGGCAGGCUUGGGACCGGGAGAGAUGUGAGCUACUCGAGGGGUAGGGGUAAAAUCCUGUAAUCCUUCGGGGAGGACCAGUGGCGAAGGCGUCACAUUAGAACGGCUCCGACAGUGAGGGACGAAGCCCUGGGGCGCAAACCGG
RNAcentral lists this ribosomal RNA (254 nucleotides) under uncultured bacterium. RNAcentral's name for it is "partial 16S ribosomal RNA". It matches the Rfam family "Archaeal small subunit ribosomal RNA", at positions 474 to 727 of the family's 1478-position model. The record is from RNAcentral.